CUCCCUCCUGCCUGUGGCUGCAGCUCUCCCUUGAUGAAAGUUAAUCCUAGUUAACGCUUUUGGCGAGCAGGGAAGACUUCAUAGCAAGCUCUGUUCUUUGGGAACUGCAGCAGCUCUUUCCCGAUGGUAUUCCUAGGAUCACCUGCAGCACGUUAAAGAGACCACAUCUCAUACACAAAAUCUUGAAAGUCUUCAGGGGCUGCUUUCCAGGCAUGAAGAUGAAGAGUGAAUAGCUUCCAGGAAUUAGCGGAUUUUUCCUUCCAUCUCCCCUGACAAAUGCACCAGCCUCAUGAGAAACACAAACUGAUUUUUCUGAAGUUGUUGAAGCUGGUAUGAGCAGAGUGGAGGGCAAUUUUUUUAGCUCUGU
RNAcentral lists this long non-coding RNA (367 nucleotides) under Dromaius novaehollandiae (emu). Its description in RNAcentral is "lncRNA (ENSDNVG00000011307.1)". Lineage: Eukaryota; Metazoa; Chordata; Aves; Casuariiformes; Dromaiidae. The record is from RNAcentral.